CACUAAGAAGCUAAAGGACAGCAACAGCCUUUUAAGCUGUAGAUGGCGGCUCAAACCGCCCUUAGUGA
RNAcentral lists this transfer RNA (68 nucleotides) under Oreophryne sp. TNHC-GDC 18615. RNAcentral's name for it is "tRNA-Lys". It matches the Rfam family "tRNA". Rfam says of the family: Transfer RNA (tRNA) molecules are approximately 80 nucleotides in length. The record is from RNAcentral. Lineage: Eukaryota; Metazoa; Chordata; Amphibia; Anura; Microhylidae.